Molecule: non-coding RNA, 23 nt
Filed under: Gallus gallus (chicken)
Lineage: Eukaryota; Metazoa; Chordata; Aves; Galliformes; Phasianidae
Also listed under: 3 other names
Source: RNAcentral
GCUGAACUUAAGCAUAUCAAUAA